CCCUUAGAUGUUCUGGGCCGCACGCGCGCUACACUGUUCGACGCAGCGAGUCUUAACCUUGACCGAAAGGUUUGGGUAAUCUUCAGCAAAGUCGAACGUGAUGGGGAUCGAUCAUUGCAAUUAUUGAUCGUGAACGAGGAAUUCCUAGUAAGUGCAAGUCAUCAGCUUGCGCUGAUUACGUCCCUGCCCUUUGUACACACCGCCCGUCGCUACUACCGAUUGAAUGGUUUAGUGAGAUCUCUGGAUUGACGCUGGCUAGGGGGCGACCCUUGGCCAGACUGCUCGAGAAACUGCUCAAACUUGAUCAUUUAGAGGAAGUAAAGGUCGUAACA
RNAcentral lists this ribosomal RNA (332 nucleotides) under uncultured eukaryote. Its description in RNAcentral is "partial 18S ribosomal RNA". It matches the Rfam family "Eukaryotic small subunit ribosomal RNA", at positions 1470 to 1796 of the family's 1831-position model. The record is from RNAcentral.